UUGUCUUUUAAAUAAAGACCGGUAUGAAUGGCAAGACGAAAGUUCAACUGUCUCCCUAAAUUAAUCAAUGAAAUUGAUCUUCCCGUGCAGAAGCGGGAAUAAAAUUAUAAGACGAGAAGACCCUAUGGAGCUUUAAAUAUAUGAUCAACUGUAUAAUAUAAAAUUCGACAGACUAAACAUUAAAUAAAACAUUAUGGUCAAAAUUUUAGGUUGGGGCGACCACGGAGAAAAACAAAACCUCCGAGAUGAAAAGAGUAUCUUAAUUUAUGAACUACAGUUCUAAUAAAUAAAAUAUUUAACAUAAUUGAUCCAAUAUAUUGAUCAACGAACUAAGUUACCCUAGGGAUAACAGCGCAAUCCUUUCCAAGAGUCCCUAUCGACGAAUGGGUUUACGACCUCGAUGUUGGAUCAGGACACCCCAAUGGUGCAGCCGCUAUUAAAGGUUCGUUUGUUCAACGAUUAAAGUCCUA
RNAcentral lists this ribosomal RNA (470 nucleotides) under Batrachuperus tibetanus (Tibetan mountain salamander). RNAcentral's name for it is "partial 16S ribosomal RNA". It matches the Rfam family "Bacterial large subunit ribosomal RNA", at positions 1969 to 2598 of the family's 2925-position model. Lineage: Eukaryota; Metazoa; Chordata; Amphibia; Caudata; Hynobiidae. The record is from RNAcentral.